CCUACGGGAGGCAGCAGUAGGGAAUAUUGCUCAAUGGGGGAAACUCUGAAGCAGCAACGCCGCGUGAAGGAUGAAGGUUUUCGGAUUUUUAACUCCUUUUUUUAUGGGAGUUAAUGACGGUAUCUAACGAAUAAGCACCGGCUAACUCCGUGCCAGCAGCCGCGGUAAUACGGAGGGUGCAAGCGUUACUCGGAAUCACUGGGCGUAAAGAGAGCGUAGGUGGGAUAGCAAGUCAGAUGUGAAAUACUAUGGCUUAACCAUAGAACUGCAUUUGAAACUGUUAGUCUAGAGUAUGGGAGAGGUAGGUGGAAUUCUUGGUGUAGGGGUAAAAUCCGUAGAGAUCAAGAGGAAUACUCAUUGCGAAGGCGACCUGCUAGAACAUAACUGACGCUGAUGCGCGAAAGCGUGGGGAGCAAACAGGAUUAGAUACCCUUGUAGUC
Molecule: ribosomal RNA, 440 nt
Filed under: uncultured bacterium
Lineage: Bacteria
Description: partial 16S ribosomal RNA
Rfam family: Bacterial small subunit ribosomal RNA
Source: RNAcentral